RNAcentral lists this long non-coding RNA (556 nucleotides) under Brassica napus (rape). Its description in RNAcentral is "long non-coding RNA (BNAP_LNC021603)". Lineage: Eukaryota; Viridiplantae; Streptophyta; Magnoliopsida; Brassicales; Brassicaceae. The record is from RNAcentral.
GGAGAGAGAGAGAUAGAGAGGGAGAGAGAGAGAGAGAGAGAGAGAGGAGUUGGGCGACAUGGUCUGAGGAGAGGGAUUGAGAAUGGCGACAUUGAUUUCAUGAAGGGCGGUGAUGCCUUCCUUCUGUACUUAUUCCAUCCGUGGAUGUUUUCGUAUACUUUUGGAACUAUUUUGUUUGCUUUAUCCAAGUUUUCCGUAAAUAUUUUCUGAAAAUUGUUUUGUGGAAGAUUAUCUAACAAGCUUUCUUAUAAAGUUCUUCCGUGAAAACUUUCCGAUCUUUGUUUUAUGGAAGAUUAUUUCGUAAAGUUCGUCAUUUAUUGCAAUAACCUUCCGCAAGAAAUUUUUUCCGACCGUUUUGAUAUUUGGAUAGAAGCUCUUUCAUUCGUUGUGCGGGAUGAAAUUCACGGAAUUUUGUUCUUAUAUCCUUAUUCAAAUAGACCCGGCUUAUGCGGUGUAGUCUCUUCGACAUUUCUGGCUCAUAUUUGUUUAAGACAUAUUUUAAUGGGAGAUUGUAGCCGUUGAUUUCGUCGUGGCCGAUUUUGACCCCAACAUCAAC